GACGAACGCUGGCGGCGCGCUUAACACAUGCAAGUCGAGCGGGGAUGUUGACUUCGGUUGACAUUCUAGCGGCGGACGGGUGAGUAACGCGUGAACAAUCUGUCCCAGACAGGGGGAUAACAGAUGGAACAUCUGCUAAUACCGCAUAAGACCACGGGAUCACAUGAUCAAGGGUAAAGAUUUAUCGGUCUGGGGUGAGUUCGCGUCCGAUUAGCUAGUUGGUGAGGUAAGGCCCACCAAGCGACGAUCGGUAGCCGACCUGAGAGGGUGAUCGGCCACGAUUGGAACUGAGACACGGUCCAA
Molecule: ribosomal RNA, 303 nt
Filed under: uncultured bacterium
Lineage: Bacteria
Description: bacterial SSU rRNA
Rfam family: Bacterial small subunit ribosomal RNA
Source: RNAcentral